GUAGCGUGAAGGAUGACUGCCUAUGGGUUGUAAACUUCUUUUAUACGGGAAUAAGUGAGGCACGUGUGCCUUUUUGUAUGUACCGUAUGAAUAAGGAUCGGCUAACUCCGUGCCAGCAGCCGCGGUAAUACGGAGGAUCCGAGCGUUAUCCGGAUUUAUUGGGUUUAAAGGGAGCGUAGGCGGACGCUUAAGUCAGUUGUGAAAGUUUGCGGCUCAACCGUAAAAUUGCAGUUGAUACUGGGUGUCUUGAGUACAGUAGAGGCAGGCGGAAUUCGUGGUGUAGCGGUGAAAUGCUUAGAUAUCACGAAGAACUCCGAUUGCGAAGGCAGCCUGCUGGACUGUAACUGACGCUGAUGCUC
This 359-nucleotide ribosomal RNA is filed under the name uncultured bacterium. RNAcentral's name for it is "bacterial SSU rRNA". It matches the Rfam family "Bacterial small subunit ribosomal RNA", at positions 396 to 754 of the family's 1533-position model. The record is from RNAcentral.